Molecule: long non-coding RNA, 1128 nt
Filed under: Gossypium barbadense (sea-island cotton)
Lineage: Eukaryota; Viridiplantae; Streptophyta; Magnoliopsida; Malvales; Malvaceae
Description: long non-coding RNA (GBAR_LNC013317)
Source: RNAcentral
UUGAAUAGUUUUUUAUUGAUGUAAUUGUUUUUUUUAAAUUCAGUAUUUGUUUAUUUUUCUAGUUUGGUAAUUUAUCAAUUCGAACUCGAUUUUAACCAUCUUUUUCAGCCUUUUUCCACACCCUUAACCUAAGCUCCACUACAACCUUUUAAAGACCUUUUGAUUUGUAUAUGAUCUCAUUUUAUAGUGGUGGAGAUUUGAUUUUAACGCAAGCCUAUGGUAAUAACUUUUCAUGUUUCACUAUUAAGUGUUUAUUUUUGAACCUUAAACACUUUGAGUGGUUUGAGUGAAUCUUUUGUGAGGAUGUCGAUUUUUUUCGAUUUUGAAUUAAAGGUAAUUACUUUGAUAAGGGGAAAUACUUGUGUUUUCAUGCUUUAAAAAUGUUCGACUUGGAUUGUUUGAAUCUUCAGUGCUCUUUUAGUUGAAUUAUCAAUGUAUGAUUAUUUGUGAAUUAUGACGAAAUAUCAUUGAUGAGAAUUAUGAGUUUAGAAGGAUUAAUUUUAAUUGUAAGUUGAGGAUUUUUGAUAAGCUAUAAAAGUAACAUCUUUUAAUCUCAUUCUAAAUGCGUUUUUGGAUGAUUAAUUAUGUAAAAUAGUGAAUUUGAUGCUCCUAAUCCUUUAAUUUCAUGUUUCUAUACUUAGAAGAGCACUCGGGAGUGAAAGGAGCAAAAAAUAAGCCAAAAUCAGAAAAAUAGAGCUGCUUCCAAGAACCACAUGACCGGGGCAUUCCCACACGGGAUGGCCACACGCCCAUGUGGCAGUCCGUGUCGAUAACGCACCUUGCUUCCCAAAUACGUGGAAAAACCAAAUUUUUAGGCUUUCUGAGCAUUCUAAAGUCUGUAAAUAUCAAUUAAAAGAAGAUCUAAGGGGGCACAUAAAUAAGAUUGAAGAAAAGACUCGAAGAACGCCAUCAAAAUCAACUCGAAGCGGAUCUCCUUCAAGAUUGAAGAUCUCCAUUUAAUUUCUUUUGAAGUUUUAUUGAGUUUCUUUAUGUCUUCUUGUUAUCUUAACUUUGAGAUGUUUCUGUUUAGGGUUAUGAACUAAAUUCCCUAGAUACCUAGGAAAGAUGAAACCUAUGAUGAAUCUUAUUAUUUGAUUUCUAAUCUACAUGAUAAAUACUUGAUUCUUG